AAUAUUGGACAAUGGGCGCAAGCCUGAUCCAGCCAUGCCGCGUGUGUGAAGAAGGCCUUCGGGUUGUAAAGCACUUUUGUCCGGAAAGAAAAGCAUCCGGUUAAUAACCGGGUGUUAUGACGGUACCGGAAGAAUAAGCACCGGCUAACUUCGUGCCAGCAGCCGCGGUAAUACGGGGGGGGCAAGCGUUGUUCGGAAUUACUGGGCGUAAAGGGCUCGUAGGCGGCCAACUAAGUCCGACGUGAAAUCCCCAGGCUUAACCUGGGAACUGCGUCGGAUACUGGAUGGCUUGAAUUCGGGAGAGGGAUGCAGAAUUCCAGGUGUAGCGGUGAAAUGCGUAGAUAUCGGGAGGAACACCUGUGGCGAAAGCGGCGCACUGGACCACAACUGACGCUGAGGCGCGAAAGCUAGGGGAGCAAAC
This 421-nucleotide ribosomal RNA is filed under the name uncultured bacterium. RNAcentral describes it as "bacterial SSU rRNA". It matches the Rfam family "Bacterial small subunit ribosomal RNA", at positions 360 to 773 of the family's 1533-position model. The record is from RNAcentral.